GGGAAAGUAGCUCAGCGGUAGAGUGCAUGCCUUGCAAGCAUGAGACCCUGGGUUCGAUUCCUCAGCACCA
This 70-nucleotide transfer RNA is filed under the name Dipodomys ordii (Ord's kangaroo rat). It matches the Rfam family "tRNA". From Rfam's summary of the family: Transfer RNA (tRNA) molecules are approximately 80 nucleotides in length. Their secondary structure includes four short double-helical elements and three loops (D, anti-codon, and T loops). Further hydrogen bonds mediate the characteristic L-shaped molecular structure. tRNAs have two regions of fundamental functional importance: the anti-codon, which is responsible for specific mRNA codon recognition, and the 3' end, to which the tRNAs corresponding amino acid is attached (by aminoacyl-tRNA synthetases). tRNAs cope with the degeneracy of the genetic code in two manners: having more than one tRNA (with a specific anti-codon) for a particular amino acid; and 'wobble' base-pairing, i.e. permitting non-standard base-pairing at the 3rd anti-codon position. Lineage: Eukaryota; Metazoa; Chordata; Mammalia; Rodentia; Heteromyidae. The record is from Rfam by way of RNAcentral.